Molecule: long non-coding RNA, 418 nt
Filed under: Salvia miltiorrhiza (redroot sage)
Lineage: Eukaryota; Viridiplantae; Streptophyta; Magnoliopsida; Lamiales; Lamiaceae
Description: long non-coding RNA (SMIL_LNC001649)
Source: RNAcentral
AUUUUAAUAAUUAGAUGUAUCCUUGCCGAAUCGCACCCUAUAAUUUUAAAAACUCGUAUCGUAUCGCCCCCACAUCCGCACCUCCGUACCUAUGCAACAUAGCUUUUCAUCAUAACAAUAAUUACUUUGAAAUAACUUGAAAUAAAUAACAUUUAAAAAAAAUACAUAUAAAGAAAACUAAAAAGUAAAUUAAAAAAAUUAAAGAAAAUAGGAAAUGAAAACAAAAAGGAAAAGAAAACUGAAAGAAAAACGUAAAAAGUAAAAAAACACGCCUAUUAAAAAAACAGAAAGAAUAAAAAAAAAAGAUAAAGAAAACAGAAAAUGAAAUGUUAGUUUUGAACCCAUUUCCUUAGGGAGACACUAGCACUUAAGACGCACAACCAACCAUUGCACCACAACUUUUAUUUUAUUUUUAAAU